CCAAGAGAAAAAGAUGCAUUACUGAACGUGGAUUUAAGAAAGCUGCUAGCCUGAAAAAAAGGGAUGCUAGUCCGAAAAAUGGAAUGUUGGUCUUGCGAAAAAGGAUGCUAGGGCAAAGAAAAGGGAUGCUAGUGAAAAGAUAAAAAAUGUCAGUGAUAAAAAAGAAGGAUGUUCAUGAUCAUUUUGGAGUCGAGCUUUUCAGCUCAGGACGUUUCGCUCAACCUAAAAAUCCUUAUUUCGUGACCAAAAUCAGGUCAAAAAGAUCCGGCGAUCUGUAUAUUCCGAUUGAAGUCAUUAGAGAUCACAAUAUUGAAUUGCCUGCAAAUGUGAUCCUGUGUGAUAAGAAAGGUAAAAAAUGGAACACAUAUGUAAAGACAUGGAAUGAUGGGCGAACAUGGUUGUAUGGAGGAUGGCGAAGGUUAUGUAAAUGGAACCUUGUUCAAGAAAAUGACAAGUGCAUCUGUGAGUUUAUGCCUUCUUCAUUGGGGCAAGAAUUCGUCUUGCAGGUCACCAUUAUUC
Long non-coding RNA from Ipomoea nil (Japanese morning glory), 519 nucleotides. RefSeq lists it as uncharacterized. The record is from RefSeq and is a predicted model, not a curated record. The transcript is spliced from 3 exons. Lineage: Eukaryota; Viridiplantae; Streptophyta; Magnoliopsida; Solanales; Convolvulaceae.